GACGUAGGGGGCGAGCGUUGUCCGGAUUUAUUGGGCGUAAAGCGUGCGUAGGCGGCUGCACAAGUCGGGUGUGAAACCCCGGGGCUCAACCCCGGAACUGCAUCCGAUACUGCGUGGCUAGAGGUAGGUAGGGGAGAUCGGAAUUCCUGGUGUAGCGGUGAAAUGCGCAGAUAUCAGGAGGAACACCGGUGGCGAAGGCGGAUCUCUGGGCCUUACCUGACGCUCAGGCACGAAAGCUAGGGGAGCGAACAGG
This 253-nucleotide ribosomal RNA is filed under the name uncultured bacterium. RNAcentral's name for it is "partial 16S ribosomal RNA". It matches the Rfam family "Bacterial small subunit ribosomal RNA", at positions 524 to 776 of the family's 1533-position model. The record is from RNAcentral.